CCUACGGGAGGCAGCAGUGAGGGAUAUUGGUCAAUGGGGGAAACCCUGAACCAGCAACGCCGCGUGAGGGAAGAAGGUUUUCGGAAUGUAAAACUCUGUCCUCUGUGGAGAUAAUGACGGUAGCAGAGGAGGAAGCUCCGGCUAACUACGGGCCAGCAGCCGCUGUAAUACGUAGGGAGCAAGGGUUUUCCGGAUUUACUGGGGUUAAAGGGUGCGGAGGCGGCUUUGCAAGUCAGAAGUGAAAUCCAUGGGCUUAACCCAUGAACUGCUUUUGAAACUGCAGAGCUUGAGUGGAGUAGAGGUAGGCGGAAUUCCCGGUGUAGCGGUGAAAUGCGUAGAGAUCGGGAGGAACACCAGUGGCGAAGGCGGCCUACUGGGCUCUAACUGACGCUGAGGCACGAAAGCGUGGGUAGCAAACAGGAUUAGAUACCCCAGUAGUC
RNAcentral lists this ribosomal RNA (440 nucleotides) under uncultured bacterium. RNAcentral describes it as "partial 16S ribosomal RNA". It matches the Rfam family "Bacterial small subunit ribosomal RNA", at positions 338 to 795 of the family's 1533-position model. The record is from RNAcentral.